CGGAUCCCAUCAGAACUCUGCAGUUAAGCGUGCUUGGGCGAGAGUAGUACUAGGAUGGGUGACCUCCUGGGAAGUCCUCGUGUUGCACCCC
Molecule: non-coding RNA, 91 nt
Organism: Gossypium arboreum
Lineage: Eukaryota; Viridiplantae; Streptophyta; Magnoliopsida; Malvales; Malvaceae
Source: Rfam